GAUUUUAUUAAUGUAAUUUGUGGUAAUUAUAAUAUAUUUGGCUAAUAUUAUGAGUGAUGGUUAUAAAAUUUUUAUAGUUUAAUAGUACUUUUUAGGAAUUAAGUGUGUUUAUAUAAAAUAUUAGGUUUUUUAUUACCUUUUGUAUUAGGGUUUUUCAAUGUGAGUUUUUAUUAAAUUUUUCUCGAUGAAUAUCGGGCUAUUUUACUAGGUGUUAUUUUUGUUGAAUAAAAUUAAUUAUAGUUUAAUAGUUAUGAAAUAUUAUUCAAGUUAUUUUUUAUCUAGUUUUCUGAGAAAUAUAAUUGUAGAUAUUUAUAUUAUUAAGAUAUGUUGGGAUUAGCUUACUUAUCGUUUAUAUAUUUUAGAGUUAGAUUUUAUUGGUGGAGUUAAAAGUUCUUAGUUUGAGGAUGUUAUUAUUUAUUGAGUUUAUAUUUAUGAUUUUUUAGUUUUAUGUUGAAAUUUGGGAUAUUAAUUUAAUAUAUAAAUUUAAUGUUAUAAUGAUAGAAUUAGUAAUAUAUAGUGUUUAUAAGUUUAGAAAUUAAAUUGUAUUUAGUUGAUAGGAAAAGAGUUUAUUAAUAUUGAAGAAUUAGGCAAUAUUAGCUUUUGACUGUUUAGCAAAAACAUUGUUUUUUGUUGGGGUAAAAAAUAAGGUCUGUCCACUGCUAGAUAGUGAAGGGCUGCAGUAUUUUGACUGUAUGAAGGUAGCAUAAUCAUUAGCUUUUUAAUUGAAAGCUGGUAUGAAGGUGAAACAGGGGCUUACUAUUUUAAUAAUAAUUAAUGAAUUUUAUUUUUAUGUGAAAAAUCAUAAUUAAAUUAAAGGGACAAGAAGACCCUAAUAAGUUUUAUUUUCUAUUAUGUUGGGUAUAUAGUUUAUUAAAUUGGUAUGAUUUAUAUUUGGGAAUUUGACUGGGGCGGUAUGUAAUAAAACAUUAUUUAAUUUUUAAUUUUUGAUAGCGUUAUGUUAGACCUGAUUUGGUCAGUUGAAUGUUAAAUUACUGUAGGGAUAACAGCGUAAUUUUUUUUAAGAGUUCUUAUUGACGGAAAA
This 1042-nucleotide ribosomal RNA is filed under the name Xystodesmus martensii. Its description in RNAcentral is "partial large subunit ribosomal RNA". The record is from RNAcentral. Lineage: Eukaryota; Metazoa; Arthropoda; Diplopoda; Polydesmida; Xystodesmidae.